RNAcentral lists this ribosomal RNA (391 nucleotides) under uncultured bacterium. RNAcentral's name for it is "bacterial SSU rRNA". It matches the Rfam family "Bacterial small subunit ribosomal RNA", at positions 30 to 423 of the family's 1533-position model. The record is from RNAcentral.
AUUAAACGCUGGCGGCAUGCCUUACACAUGCAAGUCGAACGGUAGCGCGGGGCAACCUGGCGACGAGUGGCGAACGGGUGAGUAAAGCAUCGGAACGUGCCCUGGAAUGGGGGAUAACGUAGCGAAAGUUACGCUAAUACCGCAUAUUCUGUGAGCAGGAAAGCAGGGGAUCGCAAGACCUUGCGUUCUGGGAGCGGCCGAUGUCGGAUUAGCUAGUUGGUGGGGUAAAAGCCUACCAAGGCGACGAUCCGUAGCGGGUCUGAGAGGAUGAUCCGCCACACUGGGACUGAGACACGGCCCAGACUCCUACGGGAGGCAGCAGUGGGGAAUUUUGGACAAUGGGCGGAAGCCUGAUCCAGCCAUGCCGCGUGAGUGAAGAAGGCCUUCGGUU